AAUUUUCACACCCUCUCUCUCUCUCUCUCACAAGCCUGAGGCAAGCCAUAGGGACCGGAGAGAAGCAUGUUGCGGAACAGAUCAUGCUCACCAUUGCUGCUUCUUUUUGGGGCUUUUGUGUUCUCUCUCCUUCUCCGCACAUCCUCUUCACCAACCACUUUAGCUUUGCAUCUUCAGACUCUAAAUAUUCCUGGGGCUGUUAGUGAGAGGGUGAAUGGUAUAUUUGUACCAUGGGAGACAAGAAGGCAUCUUGAAGAAGAGAACUCGAACUCCACUUUGAUAUUGGCUGCACAAAGAACUCGAAGGAAAGACCCUUUGGAUAACCUUAAUCUUUAUACUGGCGGCUAUAAUAUCAGCAAUAAACAUUACUGGGCUUCUGUUAGUUUAACUGCGGCUCCCUUCUUUAUCAUUGCUGGAAUUUGGUUUGUGCUCUUUGGACUGUCCUUGGCCUUUAUCUGUCUCUGUUACUGCUGCUGUAGAAGAGAACCAUAUGGCUAUUCUCGAAUGUGCUAUGCCCUCUCUCUCAUUUUCCUCAUUUUCUUCACAGUUGCAGCAAUUGUGGGGUGUGUUGUUCUCUAUACUGGUCAAGAGAAGUUUCACAGCAUUACUACACAUACACUGGAUUAUGUUGUGAACCAGGCAAAUGUUACUGCUGAAAACCUCAGGAAUGU
Molecule: unclassified non-coding RNA, 671 nt
Filed under: Hevea brasiliensis (rubber tree)
Lineage: Eukaryota; Viridiplantae; Streptophyta; Magnoliopsida; Malpighiales; Euphorbiaceae
Source: RNAcentral